RNAcentral lists this non-coding RNA (30 nucleotides) under Rattus norvegicus (Norway rat). The record is from RNAcentral. Lineage: Eukaryota; Metazoa; Chordata; Mammalia; Rodentia; Muridae.
AUCUGCAAGUAGCAGGGAUUCCCUAACCGC